ACGAACUGUGCAAACGUUAUUCGGAAUCACUGGGCUUAAAGGGUGCGUAGGCGGCGAUAAAGGUCAGGUGUGAAAUCCCACGGCUCAACCGUGGAACUGCGCUUGAAACCAUAUUGCUUGAGGGAGUCAGAGGUAAGCGGAACUGUUGGUGGAGCGGUGAAAUGCGUAGAUAUCAACAGGAACACCGGUGGCGAAAGCGGCUUACUGGGACUUUUCUGACGCUGAGGCACGAAAGCCAGGGGAGCAAACGGGAUUAGAUACCCCGGUAGUCCUGGCCGUAAACGAUCUGUACUAGUCCGUGGGGACCUCCACAUCCUCUCGGACGUAGCGAAAGUGUUAAGUACAGCGCCUGGGGAGUAUGGUCGCAAGGCUG
This 373-nucleotide ribosomal RNA is filed under the name uncultured bacterium. Its description in RNAcentral is "bacterial SSU rRNA". It matches the Rfam family "Bacterial small subunit ribosomal RNA", at positions 525 to 896 of the family's 1533-position model. The record is from RNAcentral.